AUUGAACGCUGGCGGCAGGCUUAACACAUGCAAGUCGAGCGGAGACUUCGGUCUUAGCGGCGAACGGGUGAGGAAUGCCUGGGAAUCUGCCUGUUAGUGGGGGAUAACGAAUCGAAAGGUUCGCUAAUACCGCAUACGUCCUACGGGAGAAAGCAGGGGACCUUCGGGCCUUGCGCUAACAGAUGAGCCCAGGUCGGAUUAGCUAGUAGGUGGGGUAAAGGCUCACCUAGGCGACGAUCCGUAGCUGGUCUGAGAGGAUGAUCAGCCACACUGGAACUGAGACACGGUCCAGACUCCUACGGGAGGCAGCAGUGGGGAAUAUUGGACAAUGGGCGAAAGCCUGAUCCAGCCAUGCCGCGUGUGUGAAGAAGG
RNAcentral lists this ribosomal RNA (372 nucleotides) under uncultured bacterium. Its description in RNAcentral is "bacterial SSU rRNA". It matches the Rfam family "Bacterial small subunit ribosomal RNA", at positions 30 to 414 of the family's 1533-position model. The record is from RNAcentral.